UCAAACAACUCUAAAAACCUACAAUCUACAUGCUAACGUGCUCGUAUUGAUGAGCACCACCUAACAAGGACUACAGACCUCCCAAACCCCUGCCGGACGCGCCGCCACGCGCCACCACCGACGGCAGCGAGUGGGCCCCACGCGCCACCCCAAAACUUUCGAAUUAAGACAAAUUCCCAACACAAAACUUGAAGAUUAAAGAGAAGGGAGCAUCUUUCAUACCUGAGGUUUCGCCCCAAUCGGCCGGAAACAAGCCGGAAACUCGCCGGAAAGAUUGGGAUCCACCACCGCCACUCUCCGCCGUGAGUUGAGCUUCAACACCACCAGGGAUCGAACGAGGACGUCCAACACUUCAUAUCCCGACCGUUUCCAAGCUGCGUCGCCGCCGCCGGAGGUAGGAAACCGAUCGGGUUGCAAACCGGGUCGCCCGCCCUCACUGUGGCGCUCGGCUUGCACAGCUCAGCUCGGGUCAUCCUCAUCCACCAACACAGGGAAGAUUGCGCCGCCAAGGAGAAGCGACUCCGACCGGUGCCGUCACCUGGGUCGGCCGGAGAUGCCCGGAAAAUUCGGGUCGGGUCAACCGGGUCCGGGUCGGGUUGGCUGGGAAGCUUGGGUUCUCUCGGGGUCGGGGAGAGAGAAGAAAGGGGAAGAAAAGGAAUUCUGAAAAAUAAGAGAACCCAAAACGAAAUUUUCCUAUUUAACCUAAAUAUUCCCGAAAAGCCACAACUUCUGCUGACCAUAACUUUCUCAUACGAAGUCCGUUUUAUGCGUGCCACGUGUCUACGAACUCGUAUCGUCGUGCUCUACAACUUUUGUGAAGGAAGUUUCUCGAGAAACCCAACGGAUUAGAAAGUCAACUCUUGACCCUUCAGAACCAUAAAACCGGUUCAGGCAAUUUACGCAUCCGAACCCUUCCGCUCUUCCUUCGAACAUCAAAACACACUAACUUCUAACUCAAAAAUUCCUAAAUAAAAUUAGAAACUAAUAUCAAAUUUCUGGGGUAUUACAGGUUUGCUUCAAUCUCAAGAACAAUUUAGAUUUCCAGAAAGUCUACUUUUCUUUGAUUUCUCUUAUGUUAAUGGUAGACAUUUCUUAUGAAAAAAGUAGUUGUAUCUUAUGUUAAAUGUAGACUUUGCAUCUUUUACCUUGAUUUGGUUCAUUCUCAAGAACAAUUUAGAUUUCCAGAAAGUCUACUUUUAUUUUAUUUCUCUUAUGUUAAUGGUAGACAUUGUUUAUGAAAAAAGUAGUUGUGUCUUAUGUUAAAUGUAGACUUUACAUUUUUUACCUUGGUUAAUUUGCUUCAAUCUCAAGAACAAUUUUAAUUUUCCAGAAAGUCUACUUUUCUUUGAUUUCUCUUAUGUUAAUGGUAGAUGUUUCUAAUGAAAAUAGUAGAUGUGUCUUAUGUUAAAUGUAGACUUUGCAACUUUCACCUUCCAUUAUUGAUUCAAUCUCAAAAACAAUUUUGAUUUUCAGAAAAUCUACUUUUCUUUGAUUUCUGUUAUGUUAAUGAUAGACAUUUCUUAUGAAAAAAGUAGUUGUGUCUUAUGUUAAAUGUAGACUUUGC
Molecule: long non-coding RNA, 1564 nt
Filed under: Fragaria vesca (wild strawberry)
Lineage: Eukaryota; Viridiplantae; Streptophyta; Magnoliopsida; Rosales; Rosaceae
Description: long non-coding RNA (FVES_LNC002695)
Source: RNAcentral